This 25-nucleotide small RNA is filed under the name Arabidopsis thaliana (thale cress). RNAcentral's name for it is "ATSL284590". The record is from RNAcentral. Lineage: Eukaryota; Viridiplantae; Streptophyta; Magnoliopsida; Brassicales; Brassicaceae.
AAAAAGCAAGAGAAACGUGGAAAGU